Coffea eugenioides is the source of this 73-nucleotide small nucleolar RNA. RefSeq annotates it as small nucleolar RNA snoR64a. Lineage: Eukaryota; Viridiplantae; Streptophyta; Magnoliopsida; Gentianales; Rubiaceae. The transcript has a single exon. The record is from RefSeq and is a predicted model, not a curated record.
GUUCUUUAUUGAGUUGAAUGCCCGAAAUAUUUUUGGGUUUCGUGAUUCUUCUCUGAAUAGGAAGAUCUGAUGU